AGUGGCGGACGGGUGAGUAACGCGUGAGAAUCUGCCUUCAGGUCGGGGACAACAGAGGGAAACUUCUGCUAAUCCCGGAUGAGCCUUAGGGUAAAAAAUUUAUUGCUUGGAGAUGAGCUCGCGUCUGAUUAGCUAGUUGGUAAGGUAAAAGCUUACCAAGGCAACGAUCAGUAGCUGGUCUGAGAGGAUGAGCAGCCACACUGGGACUGAGACACGGCCCAGACUCCUACGGGAGGCAGCAGUGGGGAAUUUUCCGCAAUGGGCGAAAGCCUGACGGAGCAAGACCGCGUGGGGGAGGAAGGCUCUAGGGUUGUAAACCCCUUUUCUUUGGGAAGAACAAAAUGACGGUACCAAAGGAAUCAGCCUCGGCUAACUCCGUGCCAGCAGCCGCGGUAAUACGGAGGAGGCAAGCGUUAUCCGGAAUGAUUGGGCGUAAAGCGUCCGCAGGUGGCAAUGUAAGUCUGCUGUCAAAACCCAGGGCUCAACUCUGGUCAGGCAGUGGAAACUACAUAGCUAGAGUUCGGUAGGGGCAAAGGGAAUUCCCGGUGUAGCGGUGAAAUGCGUAGAGAUCGGGAAGAACAUCGGUGGCGAAAGCGCUUUGCUAGACCGAAACUGACACUCAGGGACGAAAGCUAGGGGAGCGAAUGGGAUUAGAUACCCC
RNAcentral lists this ribosomal RNA (661 nucleotides) under uncultured bacterium. Its description in RNAcentral is "bacterial SSU rRNA". It matches the Rfam family "Bacterial small subunit ribosomal RNA", at positions 94 to 788 of the family's 1533-position model. The record is from RNAcentral.